Molecule: ribosomal RNA, 468 nt
Filed under: uncultured eukaryote
Lineage: Eukaryota
Description: SSU rRNA
Rfam family: Eukaryotic small subunit ribosomal RNA
Source: RNAcentral
CUGGUGAUCCUGCCAGUAGUCAUAUGCUUGUCUAAAAGAUUAAGCCAUGCAUGUCUAAGUAUAAACGAAUUUAUACAGUGAAACUGCGAAAGGCUCAUUAAAUCAGUUAUAGUUUAUUUGAUAGUACCUACUACUUGGAUAACCGUAGUAAUUCUAGAGCUAAUACAUGCUAAAAGUCCCGACUUUGCGGAAGGGAUGUAUUUAUUAGAUAAAAAACCAAUGCGCCGGGGCAACUCGGCGGUCACUGGAUGAUUCAUGAUAACUUUGCGAACCGCAUGUCCUUGCGACGGCGGUGAUUCAUUCAAAUUUCUGCCCUAUCAACUUUCGAUGGUAGUGUAGUGGACUACCAUGGUUGUAACGGGUGACGGGGAAUUAGGGUUCGAUUCCGGAGAGGGCGCAUUGAGAGAUGGCGACCACUUCCAAGGAAGGCAGCAGGCGCGCAAAUUACCCAAUGGCAAUUCGCCGAGG